Non-coding RNA from Podarcis lilfordi (Lilford's wall lizard), 73 nucleotides. The record is from the annotation of a GenBank genome assembly. NCBI's taxonomy places the organism in Eukaryota, Metazoa, Chordata, Lepidosauria, Squamata, Lacertidae.
GCUGGGAUAGCUCAGUCAAUGGAGCACGAGGCUCUUGAUCUCAGGGGUGUGGGUUUGAGCCCCAUGUUAAGCG